RNAcentral lists this ribosomal RNA (296 nucleotides) under uncultured bacterium. Its description in RNAcentral is "partial 16S ribosomal RNA". It matches the Rfam family "Bacterial small subunit ribosomal RNA", at positions 775 to 1067 of the family's 1533-position model. The record is from RNAcentral.
GGAUUAGAUACCCUGGUAGUCCACGCCGUAAACGAUGAGUGUUAGGUGUUGGGGUCGUAAGACUUCAGUGCCGUAGCUAACGCGUUAAACACUCCGCCUGGGGAGUAAGGUCGCAAGAUUAAAACUCAAAGGAAUUGACGGGGACCUGCACAAGUGGUGGAACAUGCGGUUUAAUCCGAUGCUACGCGCAAAACCUUACCAACCCUUGACAUGGUGGUCGCGGGAUUCAGAAAUGAAUUCUUUCAGUUCGGCUGGACCACACACAGGUGUUGCAUGGCCGUCGUCAGCUCGUGCCG